RNAcentral lists this unclassified non-coding RNA (2666 nucleotides) under Megachile rotundata (alfalfa leafcutting bee). RNAcentral's name for it is "conserved oligomeric Golgi complex subunit 2, transcript variant X3". Lineage: Eukaryota; Metazoa; Arthropoda; Insecta; Hymenoptera; Megachilidae. The record is from RNAcentral.
GUUCUUAGGAUGACUGCGACGCCGUUUGUGCAUACUACCUAUCUUUUAUCUAUUUAUUACGCCGUUUUACCUCUUAUUUAUUCUAUGUAUCGUCAUCUUUUUCUAUUUCAAUAUUUCUGUCUAUCGAACGUAUGAACAGCACAGCAAACAAGCCUGUCAUGAAAAGGCAGUACAAGUAGUAGGGGAGCUUUCUGAUACAGUUCAGAAGUUCUAAACCCAUUCGAGCUGCGCGAGGCGAUAAUAUUUUCUCCUAACUUCGAGUACUUAUGUACAAAUACAUGCAUACGUCAUGUUCAUGGAUUGAGUUAGGUCAAAAAAUACUGCACUCUAUAAACUAAAAAUGAUGAAAGUAUGACAUUUAUAAAUAUAUAAAUAAAUUCACUGAAGAAAAAAAUUUUUUAUAAGAAGAUCAAUAAACAAAAGACACCAUGUCGAAAGAAAUUAAUUUACCAAAAGUCCCAAAAGAUCUGUGUUUCACAGAUCUUGAUUUCAUUCAGCCAAAUUUUAAUGUGGAUACUUUUCUACAAGAACACAGAAAAAAUUCAAAGCUGGAAACAAUGCGAGAUGAUUUGGGAAUAUAUUUGAAAUUAUUAAGGUCUGCUAUGAUCGAUUUAAUCAAUAGAGAUUAUACAGAUUUUGUUAAUUUAUCAAGUAAUCUCAUUGGUUUGGAUAAAGCUAUUAAUAAUUUGCAAACACCGUUGGGUCAAUUGAAGGAAGAAGUAAUGCAAAUACGACAGACUUUAGAUGAUGAAAUUACUGUAAUCUCAAAUAACAUGAAUGAUAGUAAAAAAAUUAGAGAGUACAAGAAAAGUAUAUUUAGUUUGCAGCAUAUUUACAACUCUUCAAAUAAAUUAUCCAAAAUCUUAUGUUUGAAUACAUUUCUUGAAAGUUCUGUUAAAAUAGACAUUUUGGAACAAGCUGCAGCAGAAUUCAGUCAAUUACAAUUUUACCUGUCUAGAUGCAAAUUGGAUACUAUCAACGACAAACAAAAAGAGUGUGAAAAACUUGAACAAUUGUACAUGAAAUAUCUCAAUGAGUUUUUCUUAGCAUGUGUGCAAGAAAAAAAUUCUACCUUUUUAAUUCGAUGUUUAAGAAUUUACAUUAUGCUUGAUAAAAUUAGUAAUGCAGAAAAUUUAAUAAGAAAUGAAGUUGUCAGUCCAUUGGUUCAUAACGCAAUUAAUAUAGAAAAUUUACAAACCAAUUUACUUGGCCUACAAAAUAUUUAUAAUAUGCUGUUGAAUAUUUUGAAUGUAGAACUCAAGCAACUUUUAGAUAUCACACUAUAUCCUGAUAGAUAUUCUGUGAAAGGUUUCAAUUUUUUGGUAAACAGUUUUUGGGUUGAUGUGGAAGAAAAGAUUGAGCAAUACAUUAAAUGUAUUUUUGCUCCUGGAGAUCCAAUAUUAUUUCAUUCGAGAUACAUAGCAACUUUGGAGUUCUUAGAAAAAUUGGAAGCAGAGUGUGUUACAACUGAAUCUUUAGCAGCAUUAAAAGCAAAUUCACAAUACAAACACUUCUUAAAAAAGUGGAAUUUGCCAGUCUAUUUUCAAAUACGAUUUCAAGAAAUAACCAGUGCAAUUGAAGCGGUAUUAACCGAACCAAUAUCACCAUCAUGUGUGAAAGGAACAUUGGAAACCCUUGCACAAAAUGAUUUUUCUCUUCAUGCAACCACUAUUACAUGGGACAAUCUACAAAAAAUUUGGUCUAAUGACAUAUAUUUGUAUCAGCUAUUCCAUCGAUUUUGGAAAUUCAGUCUUCAGAUAUGUGCCAGAUAUCAAACAUGGAUUCAAGAAGCACUUAAAGAAGUAUGGACAAUAGAAAGCGAAACAAAUAAUUUAAACAAAGCAGAACAUUCCACGAGAUUGAACUUUCUUAUUUGUUUGUACAAAGAUGUACAAAAAUUUAUAGCCAGACUUCCGUCUUGUUUAGAGAUCACCCAAUCAAAACUUAAACAGGGAACCCCAAGAGUAUUGAAAUUAUUAGAAGAUUCUCUCAACGAAACAAUAAAUAAUUUAAGAACUAUUUUGCCACAAAUCACAGAAGAAAUUGUGAAUGAACUUUUGAAACAAGGUAUAGUACAUUUAAAACAAGUCAGUGAUAUACCAAGAUUGUUUAGACGUACGAAAAGGGAUAUACCAACGAAACCAUGUGCUUAUGUGAAGAAUAGUCUUACAUUUCUCAUAAAUUUCCAUGCGGAAUAUAAAAAUGUGAUAUUAGAUGACGUUAAUCAUUGGUUGGAAUUAGCUCUUUCAUCAUUAACUGAACAUUAUUUAGCUUCUGUAACAGAUGUUUUAACUUCGGUACAAAAAACUGAAGAAAGCUUGAGGAGAUUGAAAAAAAUUCGUGACAAAUCGACCGGUUCCUUUUCUUCUGAAGUCCAGGGAAUCAGCGACGACGAAAAAAUACGCAUUCAAUUACAAGUUGACGUACAAGCUUACGCUAAUAUGGUGAAAAAUUUUAUGAAACUAUCAACUCCUUACCAUGGAAAGUUCGUUCAACUUAUUUCAGAUUACACAAAUGCAAAUUUCAACUUCAAACGUGAUUCAUGUGGAUGAAUUACUGCACGCUGUUGAAGCAAUUAUCAAAAGAUAAUGUUUUUUCUUUGUUUUUAAAUGGUCUACUCAAGCAUAAGUUAUAUGAAAUUUCUCAGAAUAAUUUCCAAAUGAUUU